CAGAAUAGACUGUAAUAGAAUUAAUUCAUAACUCCUACUAGCAAUAUGGGGAUGUCUCACUUCUACAGGUACUUACAUAAUUGUCAUUAGUGAAAGUAUUUUAGAAGGGUCCCAUGAUACAGUUUGAUGGAAAAUUUUAAGUGAAUGUUGUGGUAAGACAUAACUGGUUGAGGGACAUAGUCUGCCAUCAGAAAUAUAUACCUGCCAACAAGUUCCUCUUAAGGUAAGUCUUUGGAUCUCAGACAGACGUAAAGUGGUACGAGGGAGAUAAAAAUCAGGCUCUGAUCUUUCUGCACUAAAAUACCUCUUCCAGAACCACGAAGAGGUAGCACUGAGGGCCAUAGUUGGUGGGUAUGGUGGGGGUGGAUUGAUGGUUGGAUUUGGGGAUCUUAGUGGUCUUCUCCAACCUUACUGAUUCUAUGUUCCUAUAUUCUGUUUGUCAAUGGCUUAUGGGCUGAUUCAGCCCAGUUCUGUGACUAGCAGGGUGGAGGGACCUGCAGAUCCGCGCCCUGGAAAGGGAUAAGGGAAAAGGAUAGAGAGAUGGGCCUAAAACAACACAGUGGCAAUGAUCUGAGGAGAAACAAACUAAUUUAUUAAAUAAGAUAUUAGAAUGCAAGAUAGCACACCAUAAUACAGUAUAAUACAGUAUAAUUAGAGUUGGAGCUAAUAAAUAAAAUGAGAGCGAGUGUCCAAAAACUGAAGGCCUUACUCUGUUGCUGAGAUGAGAUGUGCAGUCGGGUCGAGCAGCAGGGAAAAGAGCUCUCAUGCUGCUGAGACCAAAAAAAAAGGGGAGGGGAAAUGACCUACCAAGGCCUUUUAUCUGUUCCCCCUGAGUGAAAAUGGUAACAGAACAGUGAACAGGGGAAUGUAGUAGUUCUUUUCUUCCAGGACAGGUACCCGGAUCUGUAGCAUUAACUCUUUAACUCCCAGUGCAUUACAUGUUGUUAUGAUGUGGAAUACUGAUAACCAAACAAUCAUAAAACCAUGACACUGUUUCAGUUGGUAUUCCAUUGCAGGGAGAUGUUAACGAACUGUGAGCAUCUGGUGUAGCUACACUGGUGUAGCUUGUAAUCUGCAAAACUUGCAGAUGGUGGGAAUACUAUUUAUUGUUACUGGCUGCUAGUGAACAGUCCCACAAAAGAAGAUUUACAUAUGCCUGAGAGGGUUGUGCCCCAAUAAGAUGACAGAAAUGAUCAGAUUCAGGCUUUUACGUGAAACAGUCACUAGAAGGUUCACAGCAUGAAGAAAGAGAAUGUGGCCUUCCCCAG
Molecule: long non-coding RNA, 1268 nt
Organism: Gallus gallus (chicken)
Lineage: Eukaryota; Metazoa; Chordata; Aves; Galliformes; Phasianidae
Source: Ensembl